RNAcentral lists this ribosomal RNA (2907 nucleotides) under Klebsiella oxytoca. RNAcentral describes it as "23S ribosomal RNA". It matches the Rfam family "Bacterial large subunit ribosomal RNA". Lineage: Bacteria; Pseudomonadati; Pseudomonadota; Gammaproteobacteria; Enterobacterales; Enterobacteriaceae. The record is from RNAcentral.
GGUUAAGCGACUAAGCGUACACGGUGGAUGCCCUGGCAGUCAGAGGCGAUGAAGGACGUGCUAAUCUGCGAAAAGCGUCGGUAAGGUGAUAUGAACCGUUAUAGCCGGCGAUGUCCGAAUGGGGAAACCCAGUGCAAUUCGUUGCACUAUCGUUAACUGAAUACAUAGGUUAACGAGGCGAACCGGGGGAACUGAAACAUCUAAGUACCCCGAGGAAAAGAAAUCAACCGAGAUUCCCCCAGUAGCGGCGAGCGAACGGGGAGCAGCCCGGAGUCUGAAUCAGCUUGUGUGUUAGUGGAAGCGUCUGGAAAGUCGCAGGGUACAGGGUGAUACUCCCGUACACUAAAACACACAGGUUGUGAACUCGAAGAGUAGGGCGGGACACGUGGUAUCCUGUCUGAAUAUGGGGGGACCAUCCUCCAAGGCUAAAUACUCCUGACUGACCGAUAGUGAACCAGUACCGUGAGGGAAAGGCGAAAAGAACCCCGGCGAGGGGAGUGAAAAAGAACCUGAAACCGUGUACGUACAAGCAGUAGGAGCCCACUAGUUGGGUGACUGCGUACCUUUUGUAUAAUGGGUCAGCGACUUAUAUUCUGUAGCAAGGUUAACCGAAUAGGGGAGCCGCAGGGAAACCGAGUCUUAACUGGGCGUUAAGUUGCAGGGUAUAGACCCGAAACCCGGUGAUCUAGCCAUGGGCAGGUUGAAGGUUGGGUAACACUAACUGGAGGACCGAACCGACUAAUGUUGAAAAAUUAGCGGAUGACUUGUGGCUGGGGGUGAAAGGCCAAUCAAACCGGGAGAUAGCUGGUUCUCCCCGAAAGCUAUUUAGGUAGCGCCUCGUGAACUCAUCUUCGGGGGUAGAGCACUGUUUCGGCUAGGGGGUCAUCCCGACUUACCAACCCGAUGCAAACUACGAAUACCGAAGAAUGUUAUCACGGGAGACACACGGCGGGUGCUAACGUCCGUCGUGAAGAGGGAAACAACCCAGACCGCCAGCUAAGGUCCCAAAGUCAUGGUUAAGUGGGAAACGAUGUGGGAAGGCCCAGACAGCCAGGAUGUUGGCUUAGAAGCAGCCAUCAUUUAAAGAAAGCGUAAUAGCUCACUGGUCGAGUCGGCCUGCGCGGAAGAUGUAACGGGGCUAAACCAUGCACCGAAGCUGCGGCAGCGACGCUUAUGCGUUGUUGGGUAGGGGAGCGUUCUGUAAGCCGUUGAAGGUGGCCUGUGAGGGUUGCUGGAGGUAUCAGAAGUGCGAAUGCUGACAUAAGUAACGAUAAUGCGGGUGAAAAACCCGCACGCCGGAAGACCAAGGGUUCCUGUCCAACGUUAAUCGGGGCAGGGUGAGUCGACCCCUAAGGCGAGGCCGAAAGGCGUAGUCGAUGGGAAACAGGUUAAUAUUCCUGUACUUGGUGUUACUGCGAAGGGGGGACGGAGAAGGCUAUGUUGGCCGGGCGACGGUUGUCCCGGUUUAAGCAUGUAGGCGGAUGUUCCAGGUAAAUCCGGAACGUUACUAACGCUGAGGUGUGAUGACGAGGCACUACGGUGCUGAAGUGACAAAUGCCCUGCUUCCAGGAAAAGCCUCUAAGCAUCAGGUAACAUCAAAUCGUACCCCAAACCGACACAGGUGGUCAGGUAGAGAAUACCAAGGCGCUUGAGAGAACUCGGGUGAAGGAACUAGGCAAAAUGGUGCCGUAACUUCGGGAGAAGGCACGCUGAUGGUAGGUGAAGUGACUUGCUCAUGGAGCUGAAAUCAGUCGAAGAUACCAGCUGGCUGCAACUGUUUAUUAAAAACACAGCACUGUGCAAACACGAAAGUGGACGUAUACGGUGUGACGCCUGCCCGGUGCCGGAAGGUUAAUUGAUGGGGUUAUCCUCGCGGAGAAGCUCUUGAUCGAAGCCCCGGUAAACGGCGGCCGUAACUAUAACGGUCCUAAGGUAGCGAAAUUCCUUGUCGGGUAAGUUCCGACCUGCACGAAUGGCGUAAUGAUGGCCAGGCUGUCUCCACCCGAGACUCAGUGAAAUUGAACUCGCUGUGAAGAUGCAGUGUACCCGCGGCAAGACGGAAAGACCCCGUGAACCUUUACUAUAGCUUGACACUGAACACUGGUCCUUGAUGUGUAGGAUAGGUGGGAGGCUUUGAAGUGUGGACGCCAGUCUGCAUGGAGCCAUCCUUGAAAUACCACCCUUUAAUGGCUGGUGUUCUAACGUGGGCCCGUGAUCCGGGUUGCGGACAGUGUCUGGUGGGUAGUUUGACUGGGGCGGUCUCCUCCUAAAGAGUAACGGAGGAGCACGAAGGUCAGCUAAUCCUGGUCGGACAUCAGGAGGUUAGUGCAAUGGCAUAAGCUGGCUUGACUGCGAGCGUGACGGCGCGAGCAGGUGCGAAAGCAGGUCAUAGUGAUCCGGUGGUUCUGAAUGGAAGGGCCAUCGCUCAACGGAUAAAAGGUACUCCGGGGAUAACAGGCUGAUACCGCCCAAGAGUUCAUAUCGACGGCGGUGUUUGGCACCUCGAUGUCGGCUCAUCACAUCCUGGGGCUGAAGUAGGUCCCAAGGGUAUGGCUGUUCGCCAUUUAAAGUGGUACGCGAGCUGGGUUUAGAACGUCGUGAGACAGUUCGGUCCCUAUCUGCCGUGGGCGCUGGAGAAUUGAGGGGGGCUGCUCCUAGUACGAGAGGACCGGAGUGGACGCAUCACUGGUGUUCGGGUUGUCAUGCCAAUGGCAUUGCCCGGUAGCUAAAUGCGGAAGAGAUAAGUGCUGAAAGCAUCUAAGCACGAAACUUGCCCCGAGAUGAGUUCUCCCUGACCCUUUAAGGGUCCUGAAGGAACGUUGAAGACGACGACGUUGAUAGGCCGGGUGUGUAAGCGCAGCGAUGCGUUGAGCUAACCGGUACUAAUGAACCGUGAGGCUUAACCUU